GAAAGUGAGAAACUGGACCUGAGCAACGAGAACAAAGAGUUGAAGGAGAAGAUGAAAAAGGCGACCUUAGAAAUUGAUCAACUGCGAAACAAGGAAGAAGAAAUGAGGCAAGAAAUGGAUAACUGGGAAGAAGACAAGAAGGUUCUGGAAUCAGUCGCCGCGAGAUCGGCUGAUCUCGAAACCGAGGUUGCGAGGCUUCAACAUGAUCUGAUCACUUCGAUGAGUGAUGCAGAUGAAGCGAACAAGCAGUCGAUGGAGUUGAAGAGAGAAUUGGAAGAGAAAGGGUUGGAGAUUAAGAGAUUGGACAAGGAAAUCACUGAACUGAAGAAAGAGAAAGUUGAGAACGAGAAGAGAGAGAGGGAGUUGGAGAGGAAAUUAGGGGUUCUAGAAGUGAGGGAAUCGGAGGAGAGGAGCAAAAAUGUUAGGAUGGAAGAGGAGCUGAGGCAACAGCUGGAUGUAUUCAAGAAUAAAGUUAAGGACCUGGAAGCAGAGGUGGCGAGAACGAGGGUUGAACUGGAGACGACUAAGGAAGAACAACGAGAA
Molecule: long non-coding RNA, 543 nt
Filed under: Gossypium raimondii (Peruvian cotton)
Lineage: Eukaryota; Viridiplantae; Streptophyta; Magnoliopsida; Malvales; Malvaceae
Description: long non-coding RNA (GRAI_LNC006429)
Source: RNAcentral